ACACUCGUAUCCGAUAUAGCAAGCGAUAAUUUCUUGGAUUUUCUGUGGUCUCAUCUGAAAUAGAAAACUUUAUUGUUAGAUAUGAAUUGCAACAUUCAAAUGACUUGCACUACUCUUAAGAUAAAAACUUUAAAACAAAUGAUCAAUUUUAUAAAAAACUUAGUCAAUGAAUGAAAAAUCACUCAAAGAUUUUUGACUUCAAACCUUUGAAAAUAUAUUCAAUAAAAGUCUGAAUAAUAUUUGUAGGUAUAACUUUCAAAUAUUUUCAAGGCAGACAUCAUAGUCUAUGCGAUAGUUUUACCAUUCCUUUUAAACGUCAUUCUUCUCUGUUACGCGGUUUCCCUUUCUAGUGUAUGAAUGUGUGUACCUAGGCUGAGUGGUAACAGAAGUAACUAACCUAUAAGUAUUUAGCACCUCAUUAAAAGUUUUUAUGAUGCUAAGGACAAUGAGGACAAAGAAUGGGCUGAACAUAAAGAUCUGACACGUACUCAAGCGUUUUAUUAGCCACCAAAAAAACAGAAAGGAAGGAAGGAUAAGGUGAGGAAGGUAUUAUGCCUGAGAAAGUGUGCAUAUAAUAAAAUGUCGCCAACAAUGUGUUUAAUCAAAAGGCAUUUUAGUAUCAUAGAAUACACAGGCUGCUUUCAAGUACGAGUCGCUUAAGGAUUUAGAUUUCAGCAAAUUAAUCUUUCUUUUUAGUCUCAACGAAUACGCAAUUAA
Drosophila sulfurigaster albostrigata is the source of this 717-nucleotide long non-coding RNA. RefSeq lists it as uncharacterized. The transcript has 4 exons. NCBI's taxonomy places the organism in Eukaryota, Metazoa, Arthropoda, Insecta, Diptera, Drosophilidae. The record is from RefSeq and is a predicted model, not a curated record.